This 468-nucleotide ribosomal RNA is filed under the name uncultured bacterium. RNAcentral's name for it is "partial 16S ribosomal RNA". It matches the Rfam family "Bacterial small subunit ribosomal RNA", at positions 28 to 507 of the family's 1533-position model. The record is from RNAcentral.
GACGAACGCUGGCGGCGUGCUUAACACAUGCAAGUCGAACGGAAAGGCCCUGCUUUUGUGGGGUGCUCGAGUGGCGAACGGGUGAGUAACACGUGAGUAACCUGCCCUUGACUUUGGGAUAACUUCAGGAAACUGGGGCUAAUACCGGAGAGGAUCUCCUGCUGCAUGGGGGGGGUUGGAAAGUUUCGGCGGUUGGGGAUGGACUCGCGGCUUAUCAGCUUGUUGGUGGGGUAGUGGCUUACCAAGGCUUUGACGGGUAGCCGGCCUGAGAGGGUGACCGGCCACAUUGGGACUGCGAUACGGCCCAGACUCCUACGGGAGGCAGCAGUGGGGAAUAUUGCACAAUGGGCGGAAGCCUGAUGCAGCAACGCCGCGUGCGGGAUGCCGGCCUUCGGGUUGUAAACCGCUUUCGCCUGUGACGAAGCGUGAGUGACGGUAAUGAGUAAAGAAGCACCGGCUAACUACGUG